AGCCUCAAGCAAGAGAAAAAGCUGAGAAAGAGGGAUUCAAAGUAAGUAUUGCAAAAACAAGUUUCAAGGCAAACACAAAGGCCCUAGCCGAAAAUGAAGGAGAAGGACUUGCUAAGAUGAUAUACAGACCUGACAAUGGUGAAAUCCUUGGAGUACAUAUAUUUGGGCUGCAUGCUGCAGAUCUUAUCCAUGAAGCAUCUAACGCGAUUGCUUUAGGAACACGCAUUCAGG
Non-coding RNA from Camelina sativa (false flax), 231 nucleotides. The record is from RefSeq and is a predicted model, not a curated record. Lineage: Eukaryota; Viridiplantae; Streptophyta; Magnoliopsida; Brassicales; Brassicaceae.